RNAcentral lists this unclassified non-coding RNA (243 nucleotides) under Hevea brasiliensis (rubber tree). The record is from RNAcentral. Lineage: Eukaryota; Viridiplantae; Streptophyta; Magnoliopsida; Malpighiales; Euphorbiaceae.
CAUCUCAGAGGCAGAGUAAAAUCAUAGAUUGAGGCGGCAGUUCUAAGACAGUCCCAACAGCAGGUGGCACGUCAGCUGCAAGCCUCACAAGAAUGCGACUUCAUCUCACCAUAAUUUUCAUUUUCAUUGCCUCACAUAUUUCAAAUGGCAUUAGAUUCUAAGCUUUCUUUGCAGACUUGGAGCUUAUGCUGCUGUGUGCAGUUAUGUUAUACUUGUAACCAUAUGCAAAGAGUGUUAUUGGAU